Molecule: long non-coding RNA, 363 nt
Organism: Xyrauchen texanus (razorback sucker)
Lineage: Eukaryota; Metazoa; Chordata; Actinopteri; Cypriniformes; Catostomidae
Exons: 3
Source: RefSeq, a predicted model, not a curated record
CUAGGCCUCUCCAGUUUUCAACCGCAUCUUCAUCUGUUGGAUGGAUGUUUGUGACAUUGUCAGAUUUCCCAGAACAGGAAGCAUCCAUUUCUGGUUUCCCAUCUACACUGCAAGUUGUGAACAAAUUCGCAUGUUGCCUUCAAUGAAGGACAGAUGUCGAGCAAUGAAUCGAUCCACCCGAAUAGGCAAGUUUUCAUGCUUGAAAAGUCCAUGUUUUAUGUUUUUGAACUCUGCUUCAACAUUGGCUGAACUUGCGGUGAUGUUGGUGCUUCGAAAGUGAGGGAUCAUUACCCCUGUCCAGAGUGGUCUGUCUGUGUUUGGUCACAUGGAUCCACUUCCAGGUCAUCACCCACUACAUCUGGA